Molecule: long non-coding RNA, 1120 nt
Organism: Phyllostomus discolor (pale spear-nosed bat)
Lineage: Eukaryota; Metazoa; Chordata; Mammalia; Chiroptera; Phyllostomidae
Exons: 2
Source: RefSeq, a predicted model, not a curated record
UUUACAGCAUCAAAGAAACACAUGAGAAGAGUGAUUCUGGAUUGCAAACUGAGUUUGUGUUAGGUGGAGGGGUCAGGAAGAAGGAGUCCUUGGUCACAGAGGAUCUUGAUUUGAGUAAUGAAUAGAAACCAGCAACAAACAGCCUAAUUGUAGGAGGGCUAGGAGUCAUUCCACACCAAAGGGAGGCAGCGAGCAGGAGGAAGCAACCUCAGUGCCAAUACCUUUAUUAUUCUGGUGACUAUUUUUUCUCACCACUAUUUCUGUUCCCCGCCUUAUUUUUGCUUAAAUUUCACCAUCCCCAAAUGUCUAGCCUAGACAUCAAAAGCUUGUAAUGGUCUCUAAUUUAUCAUCCUUAGCACUGAACCAGAAGUCACCCUGUUUCUUAAUGUUUAAAUCUAUCUCUUGUCAAUCAUGUGAGUUCAGGAAGAGUUUAUCUUGUACACCUCAGCAUUCCAGGCUCUCAGAAAAAUGGCUGGCAUGUAGUAAGUGAAUUUCCAAAUAAUUUCUGCAAUUCUCCUGCUCCUCUUUGACUUUGGAGAAGGGUUCUCAGAUCACCAUGCAGCAAAUAAAAAUCUGGAUGAGAGUUUCACAGUGCAUCCCAGAGCCUUGCAGUGCUGAGCCUGUCUUUGUUCACUGGCUUUGUAAUUCCCUUCUCUGUGGGACAAAGGGCAUAUGCAUAAAGUUGGCAACGAGCUCUAACCUGAAGGCACUGUGGGCAUCACAGAGAGGAAUAACCAUGUUCUCAUUCCACAGACAACUCAGCUCACUCCCAUUCCACUCUCACUCUCAUGUGUGUCACAGGCUCCAUGCAGCUGCCAAGUACUUUACAUAUAUUAUCUCUGCUUACAGUUGCAGUAGUAUUAUGAACAGGCAUUAUUGUUAUCUCUAUUUUAAAGAUUAGGAACUUCAGUCUAGAAAGGUUAAGUUGCACUGCUAAUAAGAAGGAAAGCCAGGAUAAAGCCAGCAUGACACCGAGAAGCAAUUUCACUCUAGACUUCAUAGUUUCACCAUUUGUACCCACGAUACCGAACAUCUACAAUAGGGACCAAUGUAAAACAUGUGCUUUGAAAGAAAUGGUAAAUAACACGAAUAUGCUGAGAAAAGACUUUACGUAAUAUUC